AGGGUUCGAUUCUGGCUCAGGAUGAACGCUAGCUACAGGCUUAACACAUGCAAGUCGAGGGGCAGCAUUGGGGUAGCAAUACUCAGAUGGCGACCGGCGCACGGGUGAGUAACACGUAUCCAACCUGCCGCUUACUCGGGGAUAGCCUUUCGAAAGAAAGAUUAAUACCCGAUGGUAUAAAGAGUUCGCAUGUUCUCUUUAUUAAAGAAUUUCGGUAAGCGAUGGGGAUGCGUUCCAUUAGAUAGUUGGCGGGGUAACGGCCCACCAAGUCUACGAUGGAUAGGGGUUCUGAGAGGAAGGUCCCCCACAUUGGAACUGAGACACGGUCCAAACUCCUACGGGAGGCAGCAGUGAGGAAUAUUGGUCAAUGGACGAGAGUCUGAACCAGCCAAAAGUAGCGUGAAGGAUGACUGCCCUAUGGGUUGUAAACUUCUUUUAUAAGGGAAUAAAGUGAGGGACGUGUCCCUUUUUGUAUGUACCUUAUGAAUAAGGAUCGGCUAACUCCGUGCCAGCCGCCGC
This 519-nucleotide ribosomal RNA is filed under the name uncultured bacterium. RNAcentral's name for it is "bacterial SSU rRNA". It matches the Rfam family "Bacterial small subunit ribosomal RNA", at positions 8 to 518 of the family's 1533-position model. The record is from RNAcentral.